RNAcentral lists this ribosomal RNA (301 nucleotides) under uncultured bacterium. RNAcentral's name for it is "partial 16S ribosomal RNA". It matches the Rfam family "Bacterial small subunit ribosomal RNA", at positions 509 to 808 of the family's 1533-position model. The record is from RNAcentral.
CAGCAGCCGCGGUAAAACGUAGGUGGCAAGCGUUGUCCGGAAUUAUUGGGCGUAAAGCGCGCGCAGGCGGAUAGGUCAGUCUGUCUUAAAAGUUCGGGGCUUAACCCCGUGAUGGGAUGGAAACUGCCAAUCUAGAGUAUCGGAGAGGAAAGUGGAAUUCCUAGUGUAGCGGUGAAAUGCGUAGAUAUUAGGAAGAACACCAGUGGCGAAGGCGACUUUCUGGACGAAAACUGACGCUGAGGCGCGAAAGCCAGGGGAGCGAACGGGAUUAGAUACCCGUGUAGUCCCUGUCUCUUAUACC